GCAGAGCCCACAGCUUGGUGCCUGGCUCCUCACAUUGUUUGGCGCUGAGAAGGUGCUCAUAAGUGCUUGUGGAUGGACAAGUGGAGGAAGAAACAGAGCACAGAUGCCAGAAACAACGAAAGGAGAAGAGGAAAAAAAAAAAAGCAGAGCCAAAGAGGAGCUAGGAGAUUCAUGGCAAAAGCUGACACACACAUGCUGCUAAUACUUGAAGGAUGGCUACAAGGAUUUUUAAAUGAUCCUCCCCAGGACCUCAUUGAGAAGGUGAUUCCAGGUUCUGUGAGGUGGAUUUUGGGUAUGGUUCAGGACUUAACCCUGAAAAGCAGGCUCCUGACCCAGGCUCUUGACCACCCCACACUUCUACCUCCUCCAUGUUGCAAGUAGGAAAACCAGGGAAAAGGCCCAAGUUUCCCAAGUAGAAUCAGCUAUGCCUACAAUCAUGGGCUCUUUCCUUUUCCAUUCCAAAGCUCUUCUCUUAGAAUUAAAAUUUUACUUUCCUCUAUCAGCCUGGCCAAAGCAGUCUGCUGGAGGCUUUACAUUCAUCUUGUCACACGGUUUUUAAAUAAUCUGCAGAAAUGGAAAGGAUUUCUAUUUUAUAUGUGGUGAUGCUGUAAUUACACAGCAAGAAAAAAAGGGGGAUUGAUCUCAUACCUGUUUCAUGCCAGAGUCCUUUCUCCUUCUUUCUUUCUAAGAAAAAAUAAAAUAAGGCUGGGAGGAGAUGACAGACUAAUACCAGCAAUAUUCUGUGGUCAAACAAGAGUUAAAAUAGGGUGCUGAAUUUACAUUGUAAAAAUGUGUUAAUGUAUUUGUUUAGCAUGAGGAACCUUAUCUAACUUCUGCAUUAGGUGUUAAACCAACAGGUAUUUUCCACGUGCUAUGCAAGGCUGGCAUCAGCAAGCAGUUGUGGCCAGAUCUAGCCUUUAAAAAGCUGCUUAAGUAGGAGAAGUGGGAAGGAUAGGGGAAAGGUAAUAAGGGAAAAGGAAAAAAAAACAUGAGAAAAUGGAAAUAAAGUAUCUCUAAAUAGGGAAGGGAGGAGGGGGUGAAGGGAGGGCAGGGAUAAGGGGGAAAAAUGAGAACCAAGACCUGUCAUGUAAAGGUACAAGAUCCCAGUGAUGAAUGUAAUGGUACUGUAUACCUAAA
Molecule: long non-coding RNA, 1137 nt
Filed under: Fukomys damarensis (Damara mole-rat)
Lineage: Eukaryota; Metazoa; Chordata; Mammalia; Rodentia; Bathyergidae
Description: lncRNA (ENSFDAG00000031993.1)
Source: RNAcentral